CACCCAAAACCCUAUCUCUGCUCUCUCACGACUCUCCCUCUCACCCUCCUCUGUUACCCAUCGGCCUCCCUUUCCCCUUCCCUUGAUCGAAUGCAACCAACCUCUCAUCCCCAUUCUCUCACCUGAUGCCAUUCAUUUCCCUCUCUCCUCACCACCUAAUGCCUAAGGCUAGAGUUCAGAUUGUUGAAAACUUGAAGACUUCACCGCGUAAGACACUCCUCCGUCGCAAGCCCACUCCAAUUUCUUGGUGAUUCUUAGCAACUCAAGUUCUCUUUAAUUUUCCUUCAAGCAAACACCUAGGAAUAUUUGUUUUCUAGAAGAGCUUGAUACUAUAAGUGGUUGGGCACAAAAUGUAUCCAUAUUGCAAGAGUACAGAGCAAUUGAUUGCACAAUUGAUUGUGUACCAUUAUCAGCCAAGUCUAAAUGAUACAAAUCUGCUCCUAAUCACUUGCACAAUUGAUUGUGAAAUUGUAGUGUGAAAGCCACUCUGGGCCUGGAUGAACUGGGUUUGGCGACUGAAGAUGUUGAGAUGUCAAUUGGCAAAUGGUGGAUUAUCAUGGGAUUAUACAUUUAGCUCUUUUGUACUUGUACAUGGAACCAGUAUAUUUAGCUAUUAGUUUCUUCAAUUCCCAUAUCUACUCUUCUGUACUUGUAUAAUAAGUGAGGCCUUAACUUGUCUCAUUUAGGCAGGAUUCAGACUACAUAUAUGAAACGUGAUAUUUGGUGAUGGGAUGAGAGACUAGCUUGCUUAGACAAAUUUCAAUGUAAACAGAUACUCACAUGCAUGCAUGUAUAAAUGUGCCUAUAGAUACACAAUGAUAAAGAAAUUAGUAGAAUAUUGAUUGUUUGAAAAGCCAUGCAAAGUUAGUAAUUGAGUUAAUCAGAAAUUUAGGAAGUUUUCUCUUCAGAGCUUGCAUGGAUACAGUUCCAAUAAUAAUAUGGAAGGCAACUCUCCUUACUUCGUAUGCAGGUGGGCAACUAAGGUAAAAGCAGCAUGAAUACCAAUUCAAGGUCACAAAAGCUCCUUGAUUAAAUUGUGUAGUUUCAGAGCUUGCAUGGAUAGAUUGCUGUUUUCUUCGCUCAUUUUUCAUGACAAUGGCUCUCAUUUGGACUUUGAAAGCUCACCCCAGAUAAAAAAGACAACCACAUAGUGCAGGAUUUUUCUUUAAGUAAUAGGUCAUUUGCCGUAUGAUCAAUUGACAUGGCAUCAACUUUUAUUAUUCAUCAAAUUGGUUGGUUUGUUCUAUUAUAAACUACAUCAUCAGACCUUAGAAAGUCAACCAAAGCUUCAUGACGUUUUUCUAGAUUCAAAAUCAAAUAUUUGUUUUUAGAUAAUUUUUCAUUUCUACUUGCAUAUCAAGUUCCUAAGAUAUUCAGGUCUUAUUUUGAUGACAGGACCUCCCUGAUUAUAUCCCAUCAGUACCCAAUCCACUUCAGAAAUUUCAGAGGUGCAAAAUCUAGUUGCAGAAAUUGUUGAUUCCAGGUUGGGCAAACAAAUUACAAGAAUCAAGCCGUCCCUCACUUGCAUUCCCGCAGAGGAAGUGAUGAGCCUUGUGACUGCUCAAGUGGCGAAGCAGAGUGAAUAAAAUGAGGUGUGGAAAGACAUUCUGAAUGCAGAGGGUGAUAAAAUAUUUGUGAAGGAUAUCAACUUCUACACGCAGAAGGGGGAGAAUCCCUUUUUUAGCUGAGUUGUCUGAAAGAGCAUAUUUGCAAUGAGAAGUGCCAUUGGUUACAUGAAGAACAAUACAAAGAAAACUCACAGCCCAAACCCAGAUCCAAAGUUGAUGUUUGGAUUAAAGGACAUACAAGGAAGAAAGGAAAAUCUGUGAAUGAAGUGUUUGAGGCAGCAGUGGUAUAGUGAUAUUAGCUCCAUUUUGUAUAUAUUGCAUUAUAAUUUAAACUCAUAUUAAAGAUUGUUUAGAAACUUUUUGACAGCUUUUAGAACUUAAGGAUGGGCUGUUUUGGAUGAUUCAGAACUGUUUGGAUGGUUUUGAAUUUGAAGAUAGUUUUUAAUGUCUAUAAACAUAGUUUUUGGAUGGUUUGGAAUGUAAAGACAGUUUUUGGAUGUUUAGAACUUAUGGAUAGU
Camellia sinensis is the source of this 2086-nucleotide non-coding RNA. NCBI's taxonomy places the organism in Eukaryota, Viridiplantae, Streptophyta, Magnoliopsida, Ericales, Theaceae. The record is from RefSeq and is a predicted model, not a curated record.